AUUGAACGCUGGCGGCAUGCUUUACACAUGCGAGUCGAACGGUAACAGGCCUUCGGGUUCUGACGAGUGGCGAACGGGUGAGUAAUGCAUCGGAACGUACCCAGAGGUUGGGGAUAACGCAGCGAAAGCUGUGCUAAUACCGCAUGUGAUCUGAGGAUGAAAGCGGGGGACCGAGCAGCAAAGUUUGGCCUCGCGCCUUUUGAGCGGCCGAUGUCGGAUUAGCUAGUUGGUGGGGUAAAGGCCUACCAAGGCGACGAUCCGUACCUGGUCUGAGAGGACGACCAGCCACCAUGGGCUUGAGAUACGCGCCAGACUCCUAAGGUAGGCAGCAGUCGGGAAUCUUGGACAACGCGCGCAAGCCUGAUUAAGCAAUGACGUGGGAGGGAAGCAGGCCUUCGGGUUGUAAACCGCUUUUGGCAGGAACGAAACGGUGUCCGCUAAUACCGGGCGCUAAUGACGGUACCUGCAGAAUAAGCACCGGCUAACUACGUG
This 492-nucleotide ribosomal RNA is filed under the name uncultured bacterium. Its description in RNAcentral is "partial 16S ribosomal RNA". It matches the Rfam family "Bacterial small subunit ribosomal RNA", at positions 30 to 507 of the family's 1533-position model. The record is from RNAcentral.